AUGUCUACCGCCAGCUCUCCGGAAAGCAACUCCUCUACUGGCUCCUCUCAGCAGCGGCCAUCUGUCAUCCGCUCUGCCCCUACUUUGGAUCUCAGUCUUCUUGGGAACACAGCGACUGCUAUUUUGACAGGAGCGGGCUACCCUGGUAAGGAAGGAUCAGUCCAGGCACUGAUGAGGCUGGAUACACAAAGUCUACUAAGGGAGGCGGGGGAACAAGGGGCACAUUUGGCUUGUACCACCAGCACAACAAUAGCGGCCAGCCCCACUGGUGGCCUCUUCAACACGCCUCCCCCGACUCCUCCAGAGCUGUUCCCCACCCAGGACUUCAGUGAUUUGAGGCUGCUGGUGGAUGCUGCUCUACAGAGGGCUGCAGAACAGGAGAGCCAGAACAAACCCACAGAGACUUUAAAGACCGACUUGGUGGACACACAUUGCAAUGCUUAUAGCAGUGACAUGGGUCCAACCCCACCUCCAGAGGACAGCCAACAGGUUAUGGAUCCUUCCAGGGUGCAGAGUCUGAUGGAGAAGGCUAUGGCUGUUCCAUCUGUAACUUCAGUAAAGGCCCCACUGCCCAUGUCCUCAGCAGCUUCUGCUCCAGCCACAGCUCCGGUUUUGCUCCCAGCUCAGAGGAUAUCUCCUCUUCCGAUGAGUAAAGUCAUCUGGAGUCCCUUGGAACAAGACACGGCUAGAGUGUCCAGCCCGAACCAACCUCAGCUCCACUCAACCCAUCUGCCAACUUUAGUGCCAGUGUCUGCCUUAGUCUUAGGACAGCCAAAUCCUCAGAAACCAGCUACUACUCAACCUCCAAGUUCAGUUCCACCUCUACUGCCCAUUAUGUCUCCUUCAAGCGAAUCAGUGCCAACUACAAGUCCAGUCUCAGUGCUAUCGUCAGUCCCUCUGCCAGCAACAAGCUCGACUGCUGCCUCUCCUGCAAGCCAGGAUUCAUCCCCAACUGUAGCGCUCGUUCCAGCUGCUGCUUCUCCAACCAUCACCUCCUACUCAGCCUCCAGAGGAGUCCCGCUUCACCUGCCAUUCCACAAGCCUCCAACUAUGCCAGUAACGGUUCCAUGCCCAUUGCCUGCUUCAACACCAGUGUCAUCUGCAGCCCAAGUUCCAACCUCAUUGUCUACAUCUGCCCCCCCAUCUCCAUCAGUGAUCACACCUCUGGUGGGCCUCACUCCCCAUCUCACUCCUCCUCUGCAGCCCUCUUCCACCAGUGGCAGCAGUAAUAUUAAUAGUUCACAG
Parambassis ranga (Indian glassy fish) is the source of this 1245-nucleotide long non-coding RNA. NCBI's taxonomy places the organism in Eukaryota, Metazoa, Chordata, Actinopteri, Ambassidae. The record is from Ensembl.